This 800-nucleotide ribosomal RNA is filed under the name Staphylococcus saprophyticus. RNAcentral's name for it is "bacterial SSU rRNA". It matches the Rfam family "Bacterial small subunit ribosomal RNA", at positions 33 to 819 of the family's 1533-position model. Lineage: Bacteria; Bacillati; Bacillota; Bacilli; Caryophanales; Staphylococcaceae. The record is from RNAcentral.
ACAAUGGGGGUGCUAUACAUGCAAGUCGAGCGAACAGAUAAGGAGCUUGCUCCUUUGACGUUAGCGGCGGACGGGUGAGUAACACGUGGGUAACCUACCUAUAAGACUGGGAUAACUUCGGGAAACCGGAGCUAAUACCGGAUAACAUUUGGAACCGCAUGGUUCUAAAGUGAAAGAUGGUUUUGCUAUCACUUAUAGAUGGACCCGCGCCGUAUUAGCUAGUUGGUAAGGUAACGGCUUACCAAGGCGACGAUACGUAGCCGACCUGAGAGGGUGAUCGGCCACACUGGAACUGAGACACGGUCCAGACUCCUACGGGAGGCAGCAGUAGGGAAUCUUCCGCAAUGGGCGAAAGCCUGACGGAGCAACGCCGCGUGAGUGAUGAAGGGUUUCGGCUCGUAAAACUCUGUUAUUAGGGAAGAACAAAUGUGUAAGUAACUGUGCACGUCUUGACGGUACCUAAUCAGAAAGCCACGGCUAACUACGUGCCAGCAGCCGCGGUAAUACGUAGGUGGCAAGCGUUAUCCGGAAUUAUUGGGCGUAAAGCGCGCGUAGGCGGUUUCUUAAGUCUGAUGUGAAAGCCCACGGCUCAACCGUGGAGGGUCAUUGGAAACUGGGAAACUUGAGUGCAGAAGAGGAAAGUGGAAUUCCAUGUGUAGCGGUGAAAUGCGCAGAGAUAUGGAGGAACACCAGUGGCGAAGGCGACUUUCUGGUCUGUAACUGACGCUGAUGUGCGAAAGCGUGGGGAUCAAACAGGAUUAGAUACCCUGGUAGUCCACGCCGUAAACGAUGAGUGCUAA